GUUAAGAUGGCAGAGCCCAGCAAUUGCAUAAAACUGAAAACUUUAUAAGUAGAAGUUCAACUUUUCUUCUUAACA
This is a non-coding RNA of Callithrix jacchus (white-tufted-ear marmoset), 75 nucleotides long. The record is from Rfam. Lineage: Eukaryota; Metazoa; Chordata; Mammalia; Primates; Cebidae.